UGGGGAAUAUUGCACAAUGGGCGCAAGCCUGAUGCAGCCAUGCCGCGUGUAUGAAGAAGGCCUUCGGGUUGUAAAGUACUUUCAGCGGGGAGGAAGGGAGUAAAGUUAAUACCUUUGCUCAUUGACGUUACCCGCAGAAGAAGCACCGGCUAACUCCGUGCCAGCAGCCGCGGUAAUACGGAGGGUGCAAGCGUUAAUCGGAAUUACUGGGCGUAAAGCGCACGCAGGCGGUUUGUUAAGUCAGAUGUGAAAUCCCCGGGCUCAACCUGGGAACUGCAUCUGAUACUGGCAAGCUUGAGUCUCGUAGAGGGGGGUAGAAUUCCAGGUGUAGCGGUGAAAUGCGUAGAGAUCUGGAGGAAUACCGGUGGCGAAGGCGGCCCCCUGGACGAAGACUGACGCUCAGGUGCGAAAGCGUGGGGAGCAAGCAGG
This 429-nucleotide ribosomal RNA is filed under the name Chloroflexota bacterium. RNAcentral's name for it is "Chloroflexi bacterium partial 16S ribosomal RNA". It matches the Rfam family "Bacterial small subunit ribosomal RNA", at positions 355 to 776 of the family's 1533-position model. Lineage: Bacteria; Bacillati; Chloroflexota. The record is from RNAcentral.